This 415-nucleotide ribosomal RNA is filed under the name uncultured soil bacterium. Its description in RNAcentral is "bacterial SSU rRNA". It matches the Rfam family "Bacterial small subunit ribosomal RNA", at positions 26 to 450 of the family's 1533-position model. The record is from RNAcentral.
AGAUUGAACGCUGGCGGCAUGCCUAACACAUGCAAGUCGAACGGGAGUAGCAAUACUCUAGUGGCGGACGGGUGAGGAAUACGUAGGAAUUUGCCCUUAAGUGGGGGAUAACCCGGGGAAACCCGGAUUAAUACCGCAUGACCUCGAAAGAGCAAAGUGGGGGAUCGCAAGACCUCACGCUUUUGGAGAAGCCUACGUCGGAUUAGCUAGUUGGUGAGGUAAUGGCUCACCAAGGCGACGAUCCGUAACUGGUCUGAGAGGAUGAUCAGUCACACCGGAACUGAGACACGGUCCGACUCCUACGGGAGCAGCGAGUGGGAAUAUAGGACAAGUGGGACGCAAGCCUAGAUACAGCAAUGACCGCGUGUGUGUAAGACGGCCGUUGGUUACGUAAGUACGUACGUUAAGGUUAAGG